This 549-nucleotide small RNA is filed under the name Lodderomyces parapsilosis. RNAcentral's name for it is "eukaryotic LSU rRNA". The stretch from base 208 to 361 matches the Rfam family "5.8S ribosomal RNA". The record is from RNAcentral. Lineage: Eukaryota; Fungi; Ascomycota; Pichiomycetes; Serinales; Debaryomycetaceae.
UUGGAAAUGGAAAGUCGUAACAAGGUUUCCGUAGGUGAACCUGCGGAAGGAUCAUUACAGAAUGAAAAGUGCUUAACUGCAUUUUUUCUUACACAUGUGUUUUUCUUUUUUUGAAAACUUUGCUUUGGUAGGCCUUCUAUAUGGGGCCUGCCAGAGAUUAAACUCAACCAAAUUUUAUUUAAUGUCAACCGAUUAUUUAAUAGUCAAAACUUUCAACAACGGAUCUCUUGGUUCUCGCAUCGAUGAAGAACGCAGCGAAAUGCGAUAAGUAAUAUGAAUUGCAGAUAUUCGUGAAUCAUCGAAUCUUUGAACGCACAUUGCGCCCUUUGGUAUUCCAAAGGGCAUGCCUGUUUGAGCGUCAUUUCUCCCUCAAACCCUCGGGUUUGGUGUUGAGCGAUACGCUGGGUUUGCUUGAAAGAAAGGCGGAGUAUAAACUAAUGGAUAGGUUUUUUCCACUCAUUGGUACAAACUCCAAAACUUCUUCCAAAUUCGACCUCAAAUCAGGUAGGACUACCCGCUGAACUUAAGCAUAUCAAUGCGGGGNAGGAA